This 1437-nucleotide long non-coding RNA is filed under the name Cyanistes caeruleus (blue tit). RNAcentral describes it as "lncRNA (ENSCCEG00000005293.1)". The record is from RNAcentral. Lineage: Eukaryota; Metazoa; Chordata; Aves; Passeriformes; Paridae.
UUCCUCCUCCCCACAGCUCCAGGAACCCUGGGACACGGAACCUUCUGGAAAGGAGCCGGGGGGUCCCAGCGGGGGCUCCCCCCACCCUGAGCCCCCAAACCCCGGGGGGGACCUUGGGGAGGGUCCCCAAAAUCCCCCCGAAUCCGAGCCCCCCCCCAGCUCCUGAGGUGGCUUUGGUGUCACUGUCCCCUCCCUUGGGGACAAUUCCUCACCCCCACCUCAAAAAAAAGGGAAAUAAAGGUUUGGGAAUGCAAGAAAUCCUUGGAAUGAGCCCAAAUCCGGUUGGGAUUUAGGGCCCUGGUCCCGAGGGGGGUUUCUUAAUCGGGAAGUUAAUUGGGAUGGGACCCAAAAAUUCCAACCAGAUUUUAUUUCCUCCCCCAAAAUCCCGGAUUUUGCCAGCAGGAUCCGUCCCCACGCGGGGCUGGGGCAGGAAUUGGGGACGGAGCGGGGAAGGUUCCCCUUUCCAAAAGUUAAAAAUCCUUUAAAUACAGCCCCAAAACGGGCAAAUUUCCCUUUUUAUUCCCCGAAUGGCAGAGGAGAAUCCCAUUCCAGGGCUGUGGGGAGAAGGGACGAGAGGCGGGGCUGGAGGAUCACAGCUGCUUUAUUCCAGAAGAAUUCAUCCAGACCCGGAAAAAUCCCGUUCCCACCGGGAAAACCGGGAAGGUUUCGGCGUUUUGGGGAAUUUUUCCUUCCAGAAUUGGCUGAAUCAUGGAAUUCCCACGGGGUUGAGGAAGCCCGAGGGGGGGGUGGCAGCAGGGGUGGCAGCGAGAUGUCACCUGUCACCCACCCCCGUGGGGCGCUGCCUCAAUGGAGCUCCUUGUCCCGCUGAGAUCCCACCCCAUUCCCAAUCCCACUCGUGGGGACACAGAUCCUGCAUUGUCCCGGCCUUGGGGACACUCUGGGGACACUGGGGACACCCUGGGGACACCGGGGGGACAUGGGGGGACACCACGGGGACAAGGAGCUCACCCCAUUCCCAAUCCCACUCGUGGGGACACAGAUCCUGCAUUGUCCUGGCCUUGGGGACACGUGGGGACACUGGGGACACCAUGGGGACACCCUGGGGACACCCUGGGGACACCCUGGGGACACCUCCCCGAGCCCCGGGACACCCUGGGGACACUUCCCUGAGCACUGUGACACCGCGGGGACGGCGCGGGGACAGCGCGGGGACACCCUGGGGACACCCUGGGGACACUUCCCUGAGCCCCGGGACACCCUGGGGACAGCCUGGGGACACCUCCCCGAGCCCCGGGACAGCACGGGGACACCUCCGUGAGCUCCGUGACACCCUGGGGACACCCUGGGGACACCUCCCUGAGCCCUGGGACACCCCGGGGACAGCGCGGGGACACCCUGGGGACACUUCCUGAGCCCCGGUGACACCCUGGGGACACCCUGGGGACACUUCCUGAGCCCCGGUGACACCCUGGUGAC